UACGGAGGGGGCUAGCGUUGUUCGGAAUUACUGGGCGUAAAGCGCGCGUAGGCGGCUUUGUAAGUCAGAGGUGAAAUCCUGGAGCUUAACUCCAGAACUGCCUUUGAUACUGGGGAUCUCGAGUCCGGGAGAGGUGAGUGGAACUGCGAGUGUAGAGGUGAAAUUCGUAGAUAUUCGCAAGAACACCAGUGGCGAAGGCGGCUCACUGGCCCGGUACUGACGCUGAGGUCCGAAAGCGUGGGGAGCAAACAGG
Molecule: ribosomal RNA, 253 nt
Filed under: uncultured bacterium
Lineage: Bacteria
Description: partial 16S ribosomal RNA
Rfam family: Bacterial small subunit ribosomal RNA
Source: RNAcentral